Molecule: ribosomal RNA, 441 nt
Filed under: uncultured bacterium
Lineage: Bacteria
Description: bacterial SSU rRNA
Rfam family: Bacterial small subunit ribosomal RNA
Source: RNAcentral
AUUGAACGCUGGCGGCAGGCCUAACACAUGCAAGUCGAGCGGUAACAGGUCCUUCGGGAUGCUGACGAGCGGCGGACGGGUGAGUAAUGCAUAGGAAUCUGCCCGGUAGUGGGGGAUAACCUGGGGAAACCCAGGCUAAUACCGCAUACGUCCUACGGGAGAAAGGGGGCUUCGGCUCCCGCUAUUGGAUGAGCCUAUGUCGGAUUAGCUGGUUGGUGAGGUAACGGCUCACCAAGGCGACGAUCCGUAGCUGGUCUGAGAGGAUGAUCAGCCACAUCGGGACUGAGACACGGCCCGAACUCCUACGGGAGGCAGCAGUGGGGAAUAUUGGACAAUGGGGGCAACCCUGAUCCAGCCAUGCCGCGUGUGUGAAGAAGGCCCUCGGGUUGUAAAGCACUUUCAGCGAGGAAGAACGCCUGGCGGUUAAUACCCGCCAGGAAA